This 167-nucleotide ribosomal RNA is filed under the name uncultured bacterium. Its description in RNAcentral is "partial 16S ribosomal RNA". It matches the Rfam family "Bacterial small subunit ribosomal RNA", at positions 334 to 496 of the family's 1533-position model. The record is from RNAcentral.
UACUCCUACGGGAGGCAGCAGUGGGGAAUAUUGCACAAUGGGCGCAAGCCUGAUGCAGCCAUGCCGCGUGUAUGAAGAAGGCCUUCGGGUUGUAAAGUACUUUCAGCGGGGAGGAAGGUGCUGAGGUUAAUAACCUCAGCAAUUGACGUACCGCAGAGAUGCCCCCU